GCAUUAUCCUCACAUGAUAAGGUGUUUUGGACCUUUGAUUGUAUUAUGGACACUUAGGUUUGAGGCCAAACAUAGCUAUUUUAAGCAGAUUGCAAAGCAGACCAGUUGUUUUAAAAAUAUUCCGGUCACUCUUGCUUCAAGACACCAAUUUAUGAUUGCUUUUCACCUUCAGUCCUCCUCCUAUGGUAAACAAAGUCUUGAAGUGCCUAAUGCAUCUUUGUUUCCAGUUGAUCUUUUGAACCAAGACAUUGCUUUAGCUGUAAAAUCAAAAUACCCACACACAACAGAAGUACAUGUUGCAAAAGUAGCCUCCAUAUGUGGCAUAACGUACAAUGUGGGCAUGAUUGUUUUACAUGGAUCAGAAAGUGGCAUGCCAGAGUUUGCAGAAAUCCUUCAGUUGUGUAUCAUCAAUAAUCAGUUACACCUUAUUGUACGAUUGCUCUGUGGAUGGUACUUGGAGCAUUACCGAGCCUUUGACCUCACUACAUCCCCAACAAGACAAAUAAAGCUGUUACAGCUAAAAGAGCUGGCAGACCUUUAUCCACUUGCAGACUAUGCUGUUGGGUCGAGUCGAAUGGUGACCUUGAAAAGACAUGUCAUUAUUAAAGAUAAAGAAGAAUGAACCAGCCCUUUGUGCUAAAAGUCAUCCUGCUGGACAAUACCGCCCAAAGGCUGACUCUGCCUAAUGGAUUACCAGACACAGUUGAAGAACUUAUGGAAGAAGUCAUACGCCAAUGUGGACUUGCAUCGAAUAUCAGACUUCAAUUCAUGGACCCACUGUUUGGAAAUGAGUACAUGAAUCUUACAAACAUCAACGAACUCCAGGACAGAGGGACUAUUAGAGUGAUGAGUGAUGUGUCAGAAGAAUCAGACUCGGUGACCUUAGUACUUUCAGAUGUAUCAUCCAUAUCUUCAUUGCCUGUGACAGAAUCAUCGUCCUUAGCAUCCCUUCCUCUGUCAGAGUCAUCAUCACAACUUUCAUUUCCUCUGUCACAAUCAUCUCCAUUAGUUUCAAUACCUAUUUCAGAAGCAGCAACCUCUGCCCGAGCAGAUGAGACCUCUCUUUCCAGCUGUUUUACUGAGGACACAGACAUUCUUUCAUCGCCCCAGUCAGACCUUGGGGUUGGAAAAUCAUCCUGGCCACCCACAUUUAUUGUGCCAGUUUUUUCAUAUGACAGUGAGCUGAAACUUGAAAAAGGAAAUGCCAUGUACAAGGAAAAUGGAACUUUACUCCUGCC
Amphiprion ocellaris (clown anemonefish) is the source of this 1238-nucleotide long non-coding RNA. NCBI's taxonomy places the organism in Eukaryota, Metazoa, Chordata, Actinopteri, Pomacentridae. The record is from Ensembl.